RNAcentral lists this ribosomal RNA (303 nucleotides) under uncultured bacterium. RNAcentral's name for it is "partial 16S ribosomal RNA". It matches the Rfam family "Bacterial small subunit ribosomal RNA", at positions 507 to 807 of the family's 1533-position model. The record is from RNAcentral.
AGCAGUCGCCGCGGUAAUACGAAGGGUGCAAGCGUUAAUCGGAAUUACUGGGCGUAAAGCGUGCGUAGGCGGUUUGUUAAGUCUGCUGUGAAAUCCCCGGGCUCAACCUGGGAAUGGCAGUGGAUACUGGCAAGCUAGAGUGUGUCAGAGGAUGGUGGAAUUCCCGGUGUAGCGGUGAAAUGCGUAGAGAUCGGGAAGAACACCAGUGGCGAAGGCGGCUCACUGGCUCAUUCUAGACGCUGAGGUGCGAAAGCGUGGGGAGCAAACAGGAUUAGAUACCCGGGUAGUCCCUGUCUCUUAUAC